GACAGAGGGUGCAAACGUUGCUCGGAAUCACUGGGCGUAAAGAGCGUGUAGGCGGCCAAACAGGUCCGUUGUGAAAACUGGAGGCUCAACCUCCAGACGUCGACGGAAACCGUAUGGCUAGAGUCCGGAAGAGGAGAGUGGAAUUCCUGGCGUAGCGGUGAAAUGCGCAGAUAUCAGGAAGAACACCUAUGGCGAAGGCAGCUCUCUGGGACGGUACUGACGUUGAGACGCGAAAGCGUGGGGAGCGAACAGG
RNAcentral lists this ribosomal RNA (253 nucleotides) under uncultured bacterium. Its description in RNAcentral is "partial 16S ribosomal RNA". It matches the Rfam family "Bacterial small subunit ribosomal RNA", at positions 524 to 776 of the family's 1533-position model. The record is from RNAcentral.